Molecule: ribosomal RNA, 305 nt
Filed under: uncultured bacterium
Lineage: Bacteria
Description: bacterial SSU rRNA
Rfam family: Bacterial small subunit ribosomal RNA
Source: RNAcentral
CCGCCUACGGGAGGCAGCAGUGGGGAAUAUUGGGCAAUGGACGCAAGUCUGACCCAGCAACGCCGCGUGAAGGAAGAAGGCUUUCGGGUUGUAAACUUCUUUUAAGGGGGAAGAGCAGAAAACGGUACCCCUUGAAUAAGCCACGGCUAACUACGUGCCAGCAGCCGCGGUAAUACGUAGGUGGGAAGCGUUGUCCGGAUUUACUGGGUGUAAAGGGCGUGCAGCCGGGCCGACAAGUCAGAUGUGAAAUACGCGGGCUUAACCAGCGAACUGCACUUGAAACUAAUGGUCUUGAGUACCGGAGA